UUGAUCUUCAAUUCUUUAGCAGCUAAUAUAUUUUCAGAUUUAUAAAUAAUUGAAAAAUGGGCUCCAAGUCGCAACUGUACAAAGGAUUUUUUACUUUCUCUGACUGCUGUCUUAUGACAACUGACAGUGACAAUAUUAAGGAAUAUCCCAGGACGAGUUUAUGCUUAACGGAACGAGCCCUAACACUAAUGUGGCUCUCGUGAG
Molecule: long non-coding RNA, 204 nt
Organism: Danaus plexippus (monarch butterfly)
Lineage: Eukaryota; Metazoa; Arthropoda; Insecta; Lepidoptera; Nymphalidae
Exons: 2
Source: RefSeq, a predicted model, not a curated record